UACGUAGGGGGCAAGCGUUGUCCGGAUUUAUUGGGCGUAAAGAGCGUGUAGGCGGUAGCACAAGUCAGUUGUGAAAUCUCCGGGCUUAACUCGGAAAGGUCAACUGAUACUGUGCGACUAGAGUGCAGAAGGGGCAACUGGAAUUCUCGGUGUAGCGGUGAAAUGCGUAGAUAUCGAGAGGAACACCUGCGGCGAAGGCGGGUUGCUGGGCUGACACUGACGCUGAGGCGCGAAAGCCAGGGGAGCGAACGGG
RNAcentral lists this ribosomal RNA (253 nucleotides) under uncultured bacterium. RNAcentral's name for it is "partial 16S ribosomal RNA". It matches the Rfam family "Bacterial small subunit ribosomal RNA", at positions 524 to 776 of the family's 1533-position model. The record is from RNAcentral.